UACGGAGGAUGCGAGCGUUAUCCGGAUUUAUUGGGUUUAAAGGGUGCGCAGGCGGUCUGUUAAGUCAGCGGUCAAAGCCCGGGGCUCAACCCCGGGGCUGCCGUUGAAACCGGAGCGCUAGAAUUCCGAUGCCGUCGGAGGAAUGUGUGGUGUAGCGGUGAAAUGCAUAGAUAUCACACAGAACACCGAUUGCGAAGGCAUCUGACGAAUCGGAGAUUGACGCUGAUGCACGAAAGCGUGGGUAUCGAACAGG
RNAcentral lists this ribosomal RNA (253 nucleotides) under uncultured bacterium. Its description in RNAcentral is "partial 16S ribosomal RNA". It matches the Rfam family "Bacterial small subunit ribosomal RNA", at positions 524 to 776 of the family's 1533-position model. The record is from RNAcentral.